This 1302-nucleotide long non-coding RNA is filed under the name Physcomitrium patens. RNAcentral's name for it is "long non-coding RNA (PPAT_LNC004504)". The record is from RNAcentral. Lineage: Eukaryota; Viridiplantae; Streptophyta; Bryopsida; Funariales; Funariaceae.
ACAAGUUGUCGUAUUACGUGAAGACUUGCUUGAGAAUGCACCGAGCACUUGACUGUGGAAUGUAAAAAAAAAUUGUAACAAAAGGUCCUAACAAUCCAAUAGGAUUAUAGAGAAUUUACAAUUAAAUGUUAACAAUCAUAAUCAAACAUUAAGCAAGCUCAAUUAAAUUUUAUUGAAGUUAUAAAAGAAACACAAAGAAAUCGUAAAGAAAUAUAAAAAAAUAUUAAAGAAAACUUCGUCAAACCCUAACAAAAAUCUAAUAAAAUCUUAAAUUCUAACCAACCCCUAAUCCUAAUCCAACCUUAAUCAAAUCCUAGACAAACCCUAAAUCCUAAACCAAAUCCUAAUCAAAUCUUAAUCAAAUCCUAAACCUUAAACCAAUUCCUAAUCAAAUCCUAAAUCAAAUCCUAAAUCAAACUCUAAAUUCUAAAUCCUAAACCAAAUCCUAACCAAAUCCUAAUCCUAAACCCUAAUCAAAUUCUAACCCAAACCUAACCCUAAUCACAAAUUUGAAAAUUAAAUAACUAAAGAUUAAACUAUUGAUUCUUAUUAAAAAUUUGCACACUUUUUGGAAUUUAAGUUAGAAACCAGCACACAAAUUUUGAAGAAAAUCGCACUUAUCAAUUAUUCAAUGACCUCAAAAUUCCGCUCGGAUAUCGGCUGGUGUCUCCUUCUCCAAUCUUCAUGCCAACUUCUAGCAUUGAUAUCUCCCUUUUCCACCGUUCGAUUGCUUCCAAAUUUUACUUGCAUAUAGGAAAUCAAGUCUUCUACUGAUAAAACCAAAAAUCUCUCCAAUCCAUUUGAUAGAUUGCUAGAUAUCUAAGAAAACCUUACUGGUCUUCAAAACCCUAAAUCUCGAGACCUUAGCCCAUAAAAACCUUCAUAUGUAUCGAUCUAGCUAUUCGAUUGACCUCAAAUCUCUUACACACAUUUAUAACAAGGAUAAUAAUAAGUCUCUUAAUUUUCACCUGUAAAAAUGCUACAAAAGACACAAAAUCCAAAAAUUUAUAACUGGUUUUAUUUCUCAAAGAUCUGAAUUCACAGAGAACAUCACUCUUUUUGAAAAUCCCUCAAAAAUCCAAUACUGAUUUAAAAGACACGAAAUUACCUCUAAAAAAUCCCUCCAUAAGUCUUCUCUCUAAUUCAGCUCUCCGAUCUUCCAAAGAGCUCUUGAGUCGCUCUCAAAGCACGGUUUUGUGCCUUGGGGUCUGAUUUCGACCCAGGUUCAUAACCGGUCCUCUUCGGGUAUCAACUUUCGUCUUCUGGAGGUAAUAAUUUACUAAUUUGCACUCCUAACUCCUC